Molecule: ribosomal RNA, 221 nt
Filed under: Salmonella enterica subsp. enterica serovar Senftenberg
Lineage: Bacteria; Pseudomonadati; Pseudomonadota; Gammaproteobacteria; Enterobacterales; Enterobacteriaceae
Description: partial 23S ribosomal RNA
Rfam family: Bacterial large subunit ribosomal RNA
Source: RNAcentral
UAGCUUGACACUGAACAUUGAGCCUUGAUGUGUAGGAUAGGUGGGAGGCUUUGAAGUGUGGACGCCAGUCUGCAUGGAGCCGACCUUGAAAUACCACCCUUUAAUGUUUGAUGUUCUAACGUGGACCCGUGAUCCGGGUUGCGGACAGUGUCUGGUGGGUAGUUUGACUGGGGCGGUCUCCUCCUAAAGAGUAACGGAGGAGCACGAAGGUUGGCUAAUCC